RNAcentral lists this ribosomal RNA (904 nucleotides) under Leucocoprinus nympharum. RNAcentral's name for it is "Leucoagaricus nympharum partial large subunit ribosomal RNA". It matches the Rfam family "Eukaryotic large subunit ribosomal RNA", at positions 53 to 946 of the family's 3401-position model. The record is from RNAcentral. Lineage: Eukaryota; Fungi; Basidiomycota; Agaricomycetes; Agaricales; Agaricaceae.
GAGGAAAGAACUACCAAGGAUUCCCCUAGUAACUGCGAGUGAAGCGGGAAAAGCUCAAAUUUAAAAUCUGGCGGUCUCUGGCCGUCCGAGUUGUAAUCUAGAGAAGUGCUGCCCGCGCUGGACCGUGUACAAGUCUCCUGGAAUGGAGCGUCAUAGAGGGUGAGAAUCCCGUCUUUGACACGGACUACCAGGGCUUUGUGGUACGCUCUCAAAGAGUCGAGUUGUUUGGGAAUGCAGCUCAAAAUGGGUGGUAAAUUCCAUCUAAAGCUAAAUAUUGGCGAGAGACCGAUAGCGAACAAGUACCGUGAGGGAAAGAUGAAAAGAACUUUGGAAAGAGAGUUAAACAGUACGUGAAAUUGCUGAAAGGGAAACGCUUGAAGUCAGUCGCGUUGGCCGGGGAUCAGCCUCGCUCUUUUGCGUGGUGUACUUUCCGGUCGACGGGUCAGCAUCAGUUUUGAUCGCUGGAAAAAGGCCUGAGGAAUGUGGCAGCUCCGGCUGUGUUAUAGCUUCUGGUCACAUACAGCGGUUGGGAUUGAGGAACUCAGCACGCCGCAAGGCCGGGUUUCGACCACGUUCGUGCUUAGGAUGCUGGCAUAAUGGCUUUAAGCGACCCGUCUUGAAACACGGACCAAGGAGUCUAACAUGCCUGCGAGUGUUUGGGUGGAAAACCCGAGCGCGUAAUGAAAGUGAAAGUUGAGAUCCCUGUCGCGGGGAGCAUCGACGCCCGGACCAGAACUUUUGGGACGGAUCCGCGGUAGAGCAUGUAUGUUGGGACCCGAAAGAUGGUGAACUAUGCCUGAAUAGGGUGAAGCCAGAGGAAACUCUGGUGGAGGCUCGUAGCGAUUCUGACGUGCAAAUCGAUCGUCAAAUUUGGGUAUAGGGGCGAAAGACUAUCGAACCUCUA